UGCCAUUCUACUUCCCGUGUCUAUGGAUUUGGCUGGAUCAGAUUCUUCUUAUCAGCAGUUGCUGUUUAAGGGAAGCAGUACGGACACUCCUUUGCAUGUGCUUCGACACCCAGAGGACGCCAUUUGGAUGGACUGCAACGCAGCUGGGGGUGAAUGGGGGAAGGAGCUCCCUAGGAGUCCCUGUGGAUAUCAUCAAGAGCUUACGGUGAGACUUCGAUGGACCCUCAGUGCCUCCCUGGAAGGAGCCACAGCCACUGCCAGAGAAGCACAGUGUCCUCCACAUCCCAGAACUUUGUUACCAGACAGACAUCCUUCAUGGCCCAAGCCCCUUCUUAAUGUUGAGUUAGAUGCUGAGGGAGACACAUUAAUUCUUUCAGACCGCUAGGGAAAUGUCUAGGGCACUGCUGCCACAGGCACACAGUCAGUGUAGGCAGACGGCAGCCGAUUUAUUGACUUGCAACAAUAAAGCCAGCAAUGUUACCCUGGAGACCUGCAAGUGUUGGAUGAUCUCUUCUAAGUAGCUAACUCAGUUCUGGGAGCACUGCAGCCUUAGGGAAUGAGGGUUUAUUGCGAUAUUAGGAAGAAACAAUUAAUGCCCUCUUCGCCUAAGUUUCCUUGUCAAUAAAUCAAGGAUAAUGCUCCUUUUCUCUGAAGAGACUGAGGGUAGCCUGGGAAAAUGGAAGAGAAGCAUCCUGUAGACACAGUACAUGGAAAUGCUUUGUCUGCCAGUGCUAGCAAUGAAGCUGAUCCCACCAGGCCACACCAGUGACAUUGGGUGGCAUAUCGUCACAUCUGCUUCUAUUUUGUGCUAUUCAUACUUCCAGUACAGUUAAAUCCUAGCUCUCCUUUUGUUGCGUACCAUUAAUUUAUGUCCUAUGAAGUGCCAAUUAAUUUCAUUUUUGCUUCUACUACAUGCUCAAGAUGUUUUAUAAAGUAGACAUAUGUUAGCAUGACAAAAUGAUGCAAUGACCAGCUAGCGUGGGGUAGUUCCCUGCAUUACCCCUGAAGGUUCCUCUCUACCAGGGAAGUUAACAUUGUCUCAGUUUUCACCAAAUUCUAUAGAGAAGUCUCUACCUGAUUCUAGGCCCCUGACCUUGUGUUGCUUAGCCUAUUUACUUUAAAGCACUUGGAGUUGUAAGUUCUUACCCUGUCUUUUGAGAAGCAAGUCUUCUACAAUCCAGGAUUGUCUUGCUUUAGGACCCUGGAGCCAUCCCUUUGAGACAGAGUCAUUAAGAUAGGGUCGCUGUCUCCCAGACUUUGUUUAAGGGAAGAAGCCUUCUGCAAGUAUCCAUGAGCAGCACAGAUGGCCUACUCACACUGCUCCAACGUCCUUCAGUGCAUGCUCAGUAGCUCCCUCCACUGCUCAAAGUUCUCCAGCCUUUGUGUUAAUGGAUGGAGUUGAGCUCAGUCUCUCCUAUUGCAGUAAUCUUUGCUCAUCUGAUCACAGCCUUGAGCAAUCUUCCUGCACAUUCUCACAAGUGCCUGGUAAGUUUUUUUUCACGCCGUGUUCACUGAGUGGAUUGGGGUAUAUGAUUCCUAUGAUUUUUUUUUUUUAACCUCUGACCACAUGUUCUAGUCGCAAAUCAUUUAAUAUUUAUUUUUUUGUUUUCAAACUUUGUGUAAAUGAAAAUUCACUGUAUAUUUCACAUCAAACCACAAGAAUGAGCUUUAACAUGUGCUGAAAAGAGAGUUGGUUAUAAAAAUUUAUUACCAAAAUAACCAUGACUUUUAUAUAGCUUACAAACAAAAGAAUGGGCUCAGAGCCAGGACAGUUAAAAAUAGUAAAACAAAAACAAACCUUGAGAAAAUUCUUAGUCCAUUAAUUUAUACUGAACUGAUACUUUUUGAAGCAUACAGUAUCCUUGACAUUUUUUUUUUUUUUUUUUUUUUUUUUUUUUUUUUUUGGUUUUUCUCCGGUACUGGGAACUGAACUCAUGACCUUGCACUUGCCAGGCAGGCGCUUUUUGCCGCUGAGCUAAAUCCCCAGCCCCAGUAUCCUUGACAUUGAAUUUCUAUGUCAUUUAUACCCAGUAGUUCUCAUUGGUAGACAAGUAUAACUGUGACAGAUAAUCAAAUUUUUCUUUAACUCUGUGUCUUCAAAGAAAAUAUAAUGGCGUAUUUAGCACAUUGACAAUUGGCCCUAAUUAGUUUCUAAUAUUUUCCCCAUGCAACAAUUCAAUAUGUACAAUGAUUAAAAACACUCUAAAUGCAACUCUCGUUUCUGAUUUCACUGAGAUCGAACUGUCAAAUCUUUGUUGAUGACACAGGAAAAUUCAAAUCCGAGAAUGCAAAGAGAAUGAAGAAAAAUUCCAGAAGGACCAACAUGACUUGCUAAUGGAAUUAGAUUUCAGCAGCUGGGAAACAACACAAACACAAAGCCCUGAUCUAGACCUUGGAAGGCAUUAUUCUCCUGGAGUAUGCAAACACUACAUGUUAGACACAGGUUAUUCACUGGGGGUCUACACUCUGAGUAUGUCUAAUUCAUAGUACUAGGAUAUCAAGGAGACACUCAUUCUAGAGUAUAAAGUAAUUUCAGACACUUAGAACUUCUCCCUCUACUUCUCAUUUAUAAUUCUACCAAACAUAAACAGUACCCAUUUGGGACAAUUUGCAGACAGUUGCCCUUAUUUUUAUGUUUGGUCAAGGGAACAAAUUUCAACUUUGAUCAUCAAACACUUGGAUAGUCUUCAUAGCAUUAGCUCCUUGUAAUGAUGGAUACAUUGUGCCAAUUUGAGAACUGAGCCGUUCAGAAGCUCAACUGACUUAGCAGGGGGCCAGGGUCCUCACUUUGUAAACAUCCUGAGCUUGGAGGAGGGCACCAAGAUGGUGUGGGCCGAUAGCCUACAUACUAUAUAAAGGAGAAAAAGAGGCUUGUUUUCUCCCACUUUUGCUCCUGUUGCUUUUGCUGUCUUCUCCCCCCUUGGACUAUUGCCCUUGUGCCAGGCCCUGCUGCCUUGCAGACAGCUGAUUCUGGACUGAAACCUCCACAACUGUGAGCUAAAUAAACCUUUCC
This 3013-nucleotide long non-coding RNA is filed under the name Chinchilla lanigera (long-tailed chinchilla). RNAcentral's name for it is "lncRNA (ENSCLAG00000024404.1)". Lineage: Eukaryota; Metazoa; Chordata; Mammalia; Rodentia; Chinchillidae. The record is from RNAcentral.